This is a long non-coding RNA of Eublepharis macularius, 1553 nucleotides long. RefSeq lists it as uncharacterized. The transcript has 2 exons. The record is from RefSeq and is a predicted model, not a curated record. Lineage: Eukaryota; Metazoa; Chordata; Lepidosauria; Squamata; Eublepharidae.
CACGAUCAGCUGCCUGCCUUUGCAGCGCGCUGUACCGGGGAUGUGCCAGAAAUGAGUGAACAAGAUGAUCAGCGAUCAAGUUGAGCGACAAGCCCGGUGGCGCGCCGACGACCCCUACACGGACGAUUCUUGCCCGUUGCAUGUUUCCUCUUUCUCGGCCCCUCCCCGUUUGCAAAUAGUUGUUCAGUGUGAAACCCAAUGUGAGACUGACCUUGGCCGGAGAGAGGGAGCUUGUGGGGGUUAAAGCACUUUUGGGACCCAGAGUGGCUGACAUUCUUCUCCUCCAUUUUAUUCUGUGAGGUAGGUGAGGCUGAGAACAUGUGACUGGCCCAAAGUCACCCAGCAAGCUUCUGUGGCAGAGUGGAGAUUUGAUCCUGGGCUUCCCCGAUCCUAGUUCAGCAUCCUCACAGUAGACCACACUGGGUUAGAGGAAAGCAAUCCCAAUGAACUUUUGGAGUAGCAGUUCUACCAUAUAUAUGUUGAGAACCAAGAUGAAUAAUUUCUAGAAGUUAGGUGGUAAUAAAAUGGAAAGUGAAUUAUUUUCAUUAGGCUUUUCCUGAAGCAACUGGAACAAUUAAUCAAAUAUUAAUAUAAUUAAAUAUUAAUUAGAUUAAUUAAAUAUUAAUUAAAUAGAUAUUAAUAAUAUUUAAUUGCCCAUUUCUACAAUACAAAAUGAAAAUGACACUAUGGGUUUCCACAUGUGUAAUGCUUUGGAUCAGAUUGGUUUUGCUUAGUUGAAAUGCAGAAGGAGGAAUUUAAUUAUUGACUGGGGUGGAGAUUAUAAUACAUUGUAACCAUUAAUUCAGCCCUACUACUUUGCUAGCAAUAAAAUAAGAACUGUGUAAUACAUAUUCUGCUCCUGUUUACAUCUGUCGUUAAGGCUCUAGUCUAAUACACAUUUACCUGAAAGUCUGUCCUAUUAACGGUUCAGUCCUAUUAACAGUGCAAUCCAAAGCAAAGUCACACCCUUCUAAGUCCAUUUAUUUCAAUGCUUAGGAUUGCACUGUAAAUGUGCAGCUUACUUCUGAGUAAAUAUACAUAGGAGUGGGCUGCCUGUCACAUAUUUUUUACGAUUUAGUUUUUUAAGGAUUGCACUAAAAUACUGAGGGCAGAUUACAGCUCAGUAACAGUAAUUAAAAACAUACAGUUUCCUCUCCUGUGAACAGUUCUAUAAAUAUACUUGAGUAAUUCUCACUUCUUUGGUCGGUCUUUCAGUGGCUGGAUUGAAAAUAUUUAUGGAUCAUAGAAAGAAGCAAAUGUAUUUGAAUUUUUUUUUUUACAACAAUGUGAGAAUAUUCAUUUUGCACUCUCAGAAUGGUAUUUGCCUGAAGGAAAACUUUUUUUUGAGGAAAUACGGGUUUUUGUUAUUAAAAUAAGGCUUCAUUACUCUGGAUCAAAACAAUGGGAACAAAUGAGUUUCUGGACAAGACUGCAUUUAACAUGGUCUAGUUGCAAAGGGUUUUAUUUUUCCAUCCGGCUUUCUGAUUCAUUCUGAAAACAGUGCCAUGUGUUCUGAGACAAAGCGAUCAUUAUUAAAGAUUUGUUGCAUUAAA